Molecule: small RNA, 737 nt
Filed under: Histoplasma capsulatum
Lineage: Eukaryota; Fungi; Ascomycota; Eurotiomycetes; Onygenales; Ajellomycetaceae
Also listed under: 1 other name
Description: hypothetical RNA
Source: RNAcentral
CUUGCUUCAACUGCUCAACGACACUGGAUUAUUCUAUUAGAUGCACGUUGCCUUCUUUGCCUGUAUAGAGAAGUCUAUAGAUACACCUCAUUUCCCGUACUUCUCCCACGGACAUCUCUACACAGCCAAUGUCAUAACAUUGGACACCAAGCAAACGCUCAAUGGACCGACCAUACCGCGCAGCAUCAGGGCGACGACGUGGUGCGGAUAGCUAUGCAAUAUCUGAAGAUUCGGGGACAGAUUCGCUUCAACAGCUCGAGCCGUCACCUCUCGACUGGACACUAGACUUGGAACAGGGCGGAAACCUGCCGAACGCCUCCACCGCCAGCGGAAAAGCCGCUGGUGAAGGAAGGUAUGAAGGAGAGAAUGCACAUCGACAUGACCCCAUUCGACAUGUAGGGCUAAGCGGGAAGGGUUGGGAGUACUGGCUGUCCAUCCUUCAGAGAACCUCGACCUACGCGCCCACAUUCUUCCUAACCCUCCACCUAACAAACACCUCUCUAAUCCCCCUCAUGACCAACUCCAUUACAGCCGCUGAACCCUACCUCCUCCUCACGCGACCCCUCUAUCAGUCCCCCGCCCUCGAACCUUUUCUGCUCACUAUACCCGUCCUCACCCACCUAAGCGCAGGCGUAGCCCUCCGCAUCCUCCGCGCCCGCCGCCGCGCCCGCCUCUACGGCGCCGAAACACGCGCCCAGCGCCACGAGUUCCGUGCGUCGGGGAACUGGAAACGGCCC